UGUCUAUAAAUGGAGAAUGUUCAGCACUGUUGCUACUCUCCCUAGGAGUGGCUGUCCGGCAAAGAUGACUGCAAGAGCACAGCACAGAAUGUUCAAUGAGGUUAAGAAGAAUCUUAGAGUAUCAGAUAAAGACAGAAAUCUCUGGAACAUGCUAACAUCUCUGUUGAUGAGUCUACAAUACGUAAGACACUAAACAAGAAUGGUGUUCAUGGGAGGACACCACGGAAGAAGCCACUGCUGUCCAAAUAAAACAUUGCUACACUGUCUGAAUUUUGUCAAAGUGCACCUGGAUGUUCCACAACGCUACCAGCAUAAUGUUCUGUGGACAGAUGAAACUGCAGUUGAGUUGUUUGGAAGGAACACACAACACCGUGUGGAGGAAAAGGCACAGCACACCAACAUCAAAACAUCAUCCCAACUGUAAAGUAUGGUGGAGGGAGCAUCAUGGUUUGGGGCUGCUUUGCUGCCCCAGGGCCUGGUCAGCUUGCUAUCGUUGACAGAAAAAUGAAUUCCCAUGUUUAUCAAGACAUUUUGAAGGAGAAUGUUCGGCUAACUGUUCUCCAAUUGAACCUCAACAGAAGUUGGGAGAUGCAACAGGACAAUGAUGCAAAACACAGAAGUAAAUCAACAGAAGAAAAUAAGCCUUCUGGAGUGGCCCAGUCAGAGUCCUGACCUCAACCCCAUUGAGAUGCUGUGGCAUGACCUCGAGAGCAGUUCACACCAGACAUCCCAAGAAUAUUGCUGAACUGAAACAGUUUUGUAAAGAGGAAUGGUGUUACAUUUAUUGUUUCUGUAUUGUGUUUUUUUUUGUAUGUGUGUUUCAGGAUGGCUUCCUAAAAUUCCCCCAAGCAGCUGAUUGGUCGGCCCCAUUGCUAAUUGGAGCUGAACCCGCCCUCUCGUCAGAGGAUACAGCUGUUUCCCAUUGGACUCCUCCUGAAGCUAGAAAAGCCUGUGUUCCUUUGUUAGGAGAGAGCUGAUUGUUAUGUUCUGUGCUAGUUUGUUGCUCAGAGAAAGAGAGCUUAUUAGUAUGUCCUGUGUGUGUCAAUAGGACGCAGUGUUUUUGAUUCUUGAAGUUGUUUACUUAUGUUUGUAUUCUGUUUCAUUUGUUCCCAGGGGGGAAGGGGAAGGCAACUAGGGAGUGCUUAGGCAAGAGGCCUGCGGGAAUACAUAACCAGUAGUAUUUACAGUCUAUGCACACUAGGUAAGACCUGGGCGGACCACCCCCUGUAUUUUGGUUAGCGCACCAGGAGGUGCUAAAAGGUUAGGUAAGUGGGUAGGCAGGUAAGAUAGGAGAGGGCAGGUUAGGUAAGUAGUGGGUAGGCAGGUAAGAUAGGAGAGGGUAGGUUAGGUAAGUAGUGGGUAGGCAGGUAAGAUAGGAGAGGGCAGGUUAGGUAAGUAGUGGGUAGGCAGGUAAGAUAGGAGAGGGUAGGUUAGGUAAGUAGUGGGUAGGCAGGUAAGAUAGGAGAGGGCAGGUUAGGUAAGUAGUGGGUAGGCAGGUAAGAUGGUAGAUGGGGCUUUGACAUUUACUUUCUUUGCUUUGGUUCCGUUCAGCUCCUUUCCCUCAAAUGUAUCGUGUGAAGGAAUAAAUUACCAGUAAAGGGUCAAUUCUCUGCCUUUUGUCAUCCUUACUCGCACCUACAAUCCCAU
Molecule: long non-coding RNA, 1647 nt
Organism: Oncorhynchus tshawytscha (Chinook salmon)
Lineage: Eukaryota; Metazoa; Chordata; Actinopteri; Salmoniformes; Salmonidae
Source: Ensembl